RNAcentral lists this non-coding RNA (31 nucleotides) under Mus musculus (house mouse). Lineage: Eukaryota; Metazoa; Chordata; Mammalia; Rodentia; Muridae. The record is from RNAcentral.
UGUCAUGAAGAUGAGGUGGACCAAGAGCUGC